GUCCUAGCCGUAAACGGUGCGCAUUUGCUGUGAGCGGAAUCGACCCCGUUCGUGGCGAAGCUAACGCGAUAAAUGCGCCGCCUGGGAAGUACGGUCGCAAGAUUAAAACUCAAAGAAAUUGACGGGGGCCUGCACAAGCGGUGGAGUAUGUGGCUCAAUUCGAUGCAACGCGAAGAACCUUACCUGGCCUUGACAUGUACGUAGUAGAAGGGUGAAAGCCUGACGAGGUAGCAAUACCAGCGUACACAGGUGCUGCAUGGCUGUCGU
RNAcentral lists this ribosomal RNA (267 nucleotides) under uncultured bacterium. RNAcentral's name for it is "partial 16S ribosomal RNA". It matches the Rfam family "Bacterial small subunit ribosomal RNA", at positions 793 to 1055 of the family's 1533-position model. The record is from RNAcentral.